GCCGCGGUAGCUCAAUGGGUAGAGCGCCGGCCUGAAGAGCCGGGCGUAGGUGGUUCGAAUCCUCCCCGCGGCACCA
RNAcentral lists this transfer RNA (76 nucleotides) under Caldimonas brevitalea. Its description in RNAcentral is "[Polyangium] brachysporum tRNA-Phe". It matches the Rfam family "tRNA". From Rfam's summary of the family: Transfer RNA (tRNA) molecules are approximately 80 nucleotides in length. Their secondary structure includes four short double-helical elements and three loops (D, anti-codon, and T loops). Further hydrogen bonds mediate the characteristic L-shaped molecular structure. tRNAs have two regions of fundamental functional importance: the anti-codon, which is responsible for specific mRNA codon recognition, and the 3' end, to which the tRNAs corresponding amino acid is attached (by aminoacyl-tRNA synthetases). tRNAs cope with the degeneracy of the genetic code in two manners: having more than one tRNA (with a specific anti-codon) for a particular amino acid; and 'wobble' base-pairing, i.e. permitting non-standard base-pairing at the 3rd anti-codon position. The record is from RNAcentral. Lineage: Bacteria; Pseudomonadati; Pseudomonadota; Betaproteobacteria; Burkholderiales; Sphaerotilaceae.